This 421-nucleotide ribosomal RNA is filed under the name uncultured bacterium. RNAcentral describes it as "bacterial SSU rRNA". It matches the Rfam family "Bacterial small subunit ribosomal RNA", at positions 355 to 768 of the family's 1533-position model. The record is from RNAcentral.
UAGGGAAUAUUGGACAAUGGGGGCAACCCUGAUCCAGCCAUGCCGCGUGAGUGAAGAAGGCCCUCGGGUUGUAAAGCUCUUUUGUCCGGAAAGAAAAGCAUUCGGUGAAUACCCGGAUGUUCUGACGGUACCGGAAGAAUAAGCACCGGCUAACUUCGUGCCAGCAGCCGCGGUAAUACGAAGGGUGCAAGCGUUACUCGGAAUUACUGGGCGUAAAGCGUGCGUAGGUGGUUGUUUAAGUCUGAUGUGAAAGCCCUGGGCUCAACCUGGGAAUGGCCUUGGAAACUGGGCAGCUAGAGUGCGGUAGAGNGUAGUGGAAUUCCCGGUGUAGCAGUGAAAUGCGUAGAGAUCGGGAGGAACAUCUGUGGCGAAGGCGACUGCCUGGACCAGCACUGACACUGAGGCACGAAAGCGUGGGGAG